AGGGGCAGAACUUGGCGGAGGAGAGCUCAUACCCCCACCAGGUGCCCCACCGGGUGAGGUGGGUGUAGGAGCUCCUCCGGGACCAGAAGCACUUGAAGGUGUAGGAGCUCCUCCGGGACCAGGAGCACUUGAAGGUGUAGGAGCUCCUCCGGGGCCAGGAGCUGGUGAGGAUGACGGCACUGAUGCUGGUGUAGGUGCUGGACCCGCUGGUGUUUUUGGUGCUGGGGCUGGUGUUGCUGCUGCUGGUGUUUUUGCUGGCGCCGGGGCCGAAGUCGGUGGUGCAGGUGUAGUUGACGGUGUUGAUGCUGGCGGAGGUGUGGAUGAGGGUGGAGGUGUGGAUGCUGGUGGAGGUGUUGAUGGUGGCGAUGAUGCUGGUGGAGGGGUGGCUUUAGGAGCUGGAGCUGGAGCUGCACCACCUCCUGAAACGGAGACGGUCAAUUUUUGUCCCAAGGAACAGUGCUGGCCGAAG
This 469-nucleotide long non-coding RNA is filed under the name Coffea arabica (coffee). RNAcentral's name for it is "long non-coding RNA (CARA_LNC003992)". Lineage: Eukaryota; Viridiplantae; Streptophyta; Magnoliopsida; Gentianales; Rubiaceae. The record is from RNAcentral.